UACAACUUUCAUAAACGGAUCUAUGGCGGAUCUCUUGGAUAAAAAAUCCAUGAAAAACGCAUAACAAUGGGAAAUCGAAAAAUAAUUGGAAAAUUCAAUGAUUUAACCACACUUUGAACCCUUCGGGAUCCCAAAGGGAUUCCCGGGGGGAUGGCCGUUAAAUUGUCAACA
This 171-nucleotide ribosomal RNA is filed under the name Armillaria sp. NC-7293/1. RNAcentral's name for it is "partial 5.8S ribosomal RNA". It matches the Rfam family "5.8S ribosomal RNA". Rfam says of the family: 5.8S ribosomal RNA (5.8S rRNA) is a component of the large subunit of the eukaryotic ribosome. It is transcribed by RNA polymerase I as part of the 45S precursor that also contains 18S and 28S rRNA. Functionally, it is thought that 5.8S rRNA may be involved in ribosome translocation. Lineage: Eukaryota; Fungi; Basidiomycota; Agaricomycetes; Agaricales; Physalacriaceae. The record is from RNAcentral.